RNAcentral lists this ribosomal RNA (468 nucleotides) under uncultured bacterium. RNAcentral describes it as "partial 16S ribosomal RNA". It matches the Rfam family "Bacterial small subunit ribosomal RNA", at positions 28 to 507 of the family's 1533-position model. The record is from RNAcentral.
GACGAACGCUGGCGGCGUGCUUAACACAUGCAAGUCGAACGGAAAGGCCCUGCUUUUGUGGGGUGCUCGAGUGGCGAAAGGGUGAGUAACACGUGAGUAACCUGCCCUUGACUUUGGGAUAACUUCAGGAAACUGGGGCUAAUACCGGAUAGGAGCUCCUGCUGCAUGGUGGGGGUUGGAAAGUUUCGGCGGUUGAGGAUGGACUCGCGGCUUAUCAGCUUGUUGGUGGGGUAGUGGCUUACCAAGGCUUUGACGGGUAGCCGGCCUGAGAGGGUGACCGGCCACAUUGGGACUGAGAUACGGCCCAGACUCCUACGGGAGGCAGCAGUGGGGAAUAUUGCACAAUGGGCGGAAGCCUGAUGCAGCAACGCCGCGUGCGGGAUGACGGCCUUCGGGUUGUAAACCGCUUUCGCCUGUGACGAAGCGUGAGUGACGGUAAUGGGUAAAGAAGCACCGGCUAACUACGUG